Molecule: ribosomal RNA, 311 nt
Filed under: bacterium endosmybiont of Otiorhynchus armadillo
Lineage: Bacteria
Description: bacterial SSU rRNA
Rfam family: Bacterial small subunit ribosomal RNA
Source: RNAcentral
CAGGAUCAACGCUGGCGGCGUGCCUAAUGCAUGCAAGUCGCACGGGGUGGUCUUCGGAUCACUUACGUGGCGGACGGGUGAGGAACACGUGGGUAACCUGCCCGGUGGUGGGGGCUAGCCUUCGGAAACGGAGGGUAAUUCCGCAUGAGCUCGGGGGCCGAGUGGGGUCGCUGAGGAAAGCUCGCAAGAGCGCCGCUGGAGGGGUCUGCGUCCGAUUAGUUAGUUGGUGGGGUAAUGGCUCACCAAGGCGAUGAUCGGUAGCUGGUUUGAGAGGAUGAUCAGCCACACGGGGACUGAGACACGGCCCCGAC